AUUGAACGCUGGCGGCAGGCCUAACACAUGCAAGUCGAACGAGUGGCGGACGGGUGAGUAAUGUCUGGGAAACUGCCCGUGGGAUGGCGAUCACUACUGGAAACGGUAGCUACUACCGCACACCAUCGGAUGUGCCCAGAUGGGAUUAGGUAGUCGGUGGGGUAACGGCUGACCUAGGCGACGAUCCCUAGCUGGUCGAAGAGGAUGACCAGCCACACUGGAACUGAGACACGGUCCAGACUCCUACGGGAGGCAGCAGUGGGGAAUAUUGGACAAUGGGCGCAAGCCUGAUGCAGCCAUGCCGCGUGUAUGAAGAAGGCCUUCGGGUUGUAAAGUACUUUCAGCGAGGAGGCGUUACUCGCAGAAGAAGCACCGGCUAACUCCGUGCCAGCAGCCGCGGUAAUUC
This 406-nucleotide ribosomal RNA is filed under the name uncultured bacterium. Its description in RNAcentral is "partial 16S ribosomal RNA". It matches the Rfam family "Bacterial small subunit ribosomal RNA", at positions 30 to 526 of the family's 1533-position model. The record is from RNAcentral.